GCUGGGUGUGGUGGCUCACGCCUGUAAUCCCAGCACUUUGGGAGGCUGAGGUGGGAGGAUCACUUGAGGUCAGGAGUUCAAGACCAGCCUGACCAACAUGGUGAAACCCCAUCUCUA
RNAcentral lists this non-coding RNA (117 nucleotides) under Homo sapiens (human). The record is from Rfam by way of RNAcentral. Lineage: Eukaryota; Metazoa; Chordata; Mammalia; Primates; Hominidae.